Molecule: ribosomal RNA, 484 nt
Filed under: uncultured bacterium
Lineage: Bacteria
Description: partial 16S ribosomal RNA
Rfam family: Bacterial small subunit ribosomal RNA
Source: RNAcentral
AUUGAACGCUGGCGGCAGGCCUAACACAUGCAAGUCGAGCGGAUGAAGGGAGCUUGCUCCUGGAUUCAGCGGCGGACGGGUGAGUAAUGCCUAGGAAUCUGCCUGGUAGUGGGGGAUAACGUCCGGAAACGGGCGCUAAUACCGCAUACGUCCUGAGGGAGAAAGUGGGGGAUCUUCGGACCUCACGCUAUCAGAUGAGCCUAGGUCGGAUUAGCUAGUUGGUGGGGUAAAGGCCUACCAAGGCGACGAUCCGUAACUGGUCUGAGAGGAUGAUCAGUCACCAUGGAACUGAGAAACGGUCCAGACGCCUACGGGAGGCAGCAGUGGGGAAUAUUGGAAAAUGGGCGAAAGCCUGAUCAAGCCAUGCAGCGUGUGUGAAGAAGGUCUUCGGAUUGUAAAGCACUUUAAGUUGGGAGGAAGGGCAGUAAGUUAAUACCUUGCUGUUUUGACGUUACCAACAGAAUAAGCACCGGCUAACUUCGUG